This 1373-nucleotide ribosomal RNA is filed under the name uncultured bacterium. RNAcentral describes it as "bacterial SSU rRNA". It matches the Rfam family "Bacterial small subunit ribosomal RNA", at positions 28 to 1381 of the family's 1533-position model. The record is from RNAcentral.
GAUGAACGCUGGCGGCGUGCCUAAUACAUGCAAGUCGAGCGAACGGACGAGAAGCUUGCUUCUCUGAUGUUAGCGGCGGACGGGUGAGUAACACGUGGAUAACCUACCUAUAAGACUGGGAUAACUUCGGGAAACCGGAGCUAAUACCGGAUAAUAUUUUGAACCGCAUGGUUCAAAAGUGAAAGACGGUCUUGCUGUCACUUAUAGAUGGAUCCGCGCUGCAUUAGCUAGUUGGUAAGGUAACGGCUUACCAAGGCAACGAUGCAUAGCCGACCUGAGAGGGUGAUCGGCCACACUGGAACUGAGACACGGUCCAGACUCCUACGGGAGGCAGCAGUAGGGAAUCUUCCGCAAUGGGCGAAAGCCUGACGGAGCAACGCCGCGUGAGUGAUGAAGGUCUUCGGAUCGUAAAACUCUGUUAUUAGGGAAGAACAUAUGUGUAAGUAACUGUGCACAUCUUGACGGUACCUAAUCAGAAAGCCACGGCUAACUACGUGCCAGCAGCCGCGGUAAUACGUAGGUGGCAAGCGUUAUCCGGAAUUAUUGGGCGUAAAGCGCGCGUAGGGCGGUUUUUUAGUCUGAUGUGAAACGCCCACGGCUCAACCGUGGAGGGUCAUUGGAAACUGGAAAACUUGAGUGCAGAAGAGGAAAGUGGAAUUCCAUGUGUAGCGGUGAAAUGCGCAGAGAUAUGGAGGAACACCAGUGGCGAAGGCGACUUUCUGGUCUGUAACUGACGCUGAUGUGCGAAAGCGUGGGGAUCAAACAGGAUUAGAUACCCUGGUAGUCCACGCCGUAAACGAUGAGUGCUAAGUGUUAGGGGGUUUCCGCCCCUUAGUGCUGCAGCUAACGCAUUAAGCACUCCGCCUGGGGAGUACGACCGCAAGGUUGAAACUCAAAGGAAUUGACGGGGACCCGCACAAGCGGUGGAGCAUGUGGUUUAAUUCGAAGCAACGCGAAGAACCUUACCAAAUCUUGACAUCCUUUGACAACUCUAGAGAUAGAGCCUUCCCCUUCGGGGGACAAAGUGACAGGUGGUGCAUGGUUGUCGUCAGCUCGUGUCGUGAGAUGUUGGGUUAAGUCCCGCAACGAGCGCAACCCUUAAGCUUAGUUGCCAUCAUUAAGUUGGGCACUCUAAGUUGACUGCCGGUGACAAACCGGAGGAAGGUGGGGAUGACGUCAAAUCAUCAUGCCCCUUAUGAUUUGGGCUACACACGUGCUACAAUAGACAAUACAAAGGGCAGCGAAACCGCGAGGUCAAGCAAAUCCCAUAAAGUUGUUCUCAGUUCGGAUUGUAGUCUGCAACUCGACUACAUGAAGCUGGAAUCGCUAGUAAUCGUAGAUCAGCAUGCUACGGUGAAUACGUUCCCGGGUCU